CUCCCGAAUACCUCCCGAACACGAUCUUCAAUCUCCUCCAGAACCCCUCUCACACAAACCUCAUCUCACGCCCUCUCCAUCCAAAUCCUCUUCGACGAACCCCUCCGCGAACCUCUCCUCCGAACUCCUCUUCGCCGAACAAACCUCAUCUCACGCCCUCUUCCUCGACGAGCCCACCACCGGGCUCGACAACACCACCGCCUUCUUCAUGGUGGAGACACUGAAGCACAUCGUGGUGGACAAAUGCACCGGCACGCAACAAAAUGCAAGGCCUGUGACAAGACUGUCUACCUCGUGGAUCAGCUCACCGCCGACGAAAUCGUCUUCCAUAAGUCCUGCUUAAGUGCAAUCAUUGCAAAGGAACCCUCACGCUAAGUACAUAUUCAUCCAUGGAAGGUGUUUUGUAUUGCAAGCCUCACUUUGAACAACUCUUCAAGGAAUCUGACAACUUCCAUAAGAAUUUUCAGUCAUUUGCAAAAUCUGCUGAUAAAGCUCUAGAACUGGUUAGUAAAGAUCUGCUAAAUACUGAUUUCUUCAGUGCUUAUUUUAAAUCACUCAUUCUUUUUUGUAUCAACUAGAUUGUAACACCUCCCUAUAAUUGAUUAAAUUUCUGUUGUGAAAUUUUUUCAACCAGAAGCCCCAAGCAGUUUAUGUUGUGAAAAUCACACAUUUACUUCAUAUUAGCUUUGAAAUCCCGAGUUGAAUAUUUUAAACUUCCAAGGCUUGAAAAAUAUAUCGUCUAACCCUAAAUUUUAUCUUCAGCUCACUUGCAAAUUAGUUUGUAGUAGAUUCUAUAUCAUCUUUUCGCAGUGUAGAUUACUUUGUGAAAAUCACAAUUUUAUCUCAUCUUUAGCUUCGAGAUAUUCCAAGUUGAACAUUCCAAACUUUCAGGUGUCUGAGAUGUAUUUUUUUAGCCCUAAAUUUUACUACAAGAAGAACUACCUUAUGGUGCUGUUGUCAUUUUUUAAACAAGAAACAAGCCAUUAAUAAAUUAGUCAAGCGCCAAAGGAAGAUGAGUGACUCCUAACAAUGAGACUCUUAACUUUACCCAUCUCUGCAUUCGCCAAGUGUGAGCAUCUCCUUGGUGGAAGAGAGGUACAUUGCAAUGCCAUCAAAACUAAACAGAUUGACUUAGUUUUGCGUGCCACUCUCGUCGAUUUCUAUACUAAAUGUGGUGAAUUGAAAUCAUCAGUCAUGUUGCAUGAUGAAUGCCAAGUGAAGAGCAGCACCAUAUGGAGCAUCAUGAUGUGGGGCCUUAUUCAGAAUGGUGAGUUCUUGGAAGCUGUCAACGUGUUUGAAAGAAUGCAAAAGUCUGUAAUUAAGCCUUGUAAGGAUGCUCUAUGGGCCUUAGUUGCUGCAUAUACUAACUUGGGAGCUUUGUUGUUGGGUAGAGGAGUUCAUAAUCUUAUGUAGGCUGUGAUUGUGUAAAUAGAAUUUUUUUUGUAAAUAUUAUAGUUUUUGUAAA
Zingiber officinale is the source of this 1465-nucleotide long non-coding RNA. RefSeq lists it as uncharacterized. The record is from RefSeq and is a predicted model, not a curated record. Lineage: Eukaryota; Viridiplantae; Streptophyta; Magnoliopsida; Zingiberales; Zingiberaceae. The transcript has 3 exons.